Podarcis lilfordi (Lilford's wall lizard) is the source of this 512-nucleotide non-coding RNA. Lineage: Eukaryota; Metazoa; Chordata; Lepidosauria; Squamata; Lacertidae. The record is from the annotation of a GenBank genome assembly.
UGUUAGGGUGUGAAACCUAAGACGCUGGCAAGUUAGCAAUGUCAUGUGACUUUAAGUAGUCAAGCUCGUUAAGUUGUUAAGUUGCUCAGUAUAUAAAGUGUGUUUGUUUUCUCUGCCUGUGGGGCGUGAAGCAAAAAUGUCUGAAAGCUCCGGAGGUAUUUCUGUUAUCUUUCUGCAAUAAACCUGUCUUUGGAAAGACAGGCUUCCCUGUGUCGUUAUUUCUUUGCUGCUGAGACUCUGAAGCUUGUACUGCAACAAGAAUCUCUGCACUGGACUUAAUUAAUACUCUGCAAAGAGAGCUGUUGCUGGUGGCGCAGCGGAAGCGUUUACUGGACCAGUACACAAACUCUCUUAGGUUAUGGAUCCUUCUACGUUUCUACAGCUGUAUUGUGUGCAGAGAAAGUGAAAGCAGCUUUCGGAUGAGAGAAGACCGGCUUAGUCGUAAAUCCAGCUCUUAAAGGCUUCAGAGGAGGCUGGAGGCGUCUGAAAAGUGAGUAAAACAAAUCCCAAGG